UAAGGAAUAUUGGUCAAUGGACGCAAGUCUGAACCAGCCAUGCCGCGUGAAGGAUGAAGGUCCUCUGGAUUGUAAACUUCUUUUAUCUGGGACGAAAACGGGAUUUUUAUCUCAAUUGACGGUACCAGAGGAAUAAGCACCGGCUAACUCCGUGCCAGCAGCCGCGGUAAUACGUAGGACCCAAGCGUUGUCCGGAUUUACUGGGUGUAAAGGGUGCGCAGGCGGAUGGGUAAGUCAGGGGUGAAAGUCUGCAGCUUAACUGUAGAAUUGCCUUUGAUACAGCUCAUCUUGAGUGUGGGAGAGGUUGAUGGAAUUCCAGGUGUAGCAGUGAAAUGCGUAGAUAUCUGGAAGAACACCAGUGGCGAAGGCGGUCAACUGGCCCAUAACUGACGCUCAUGCACGAAAGCGUGGGGAGCAAACA
RNAcentral lists this ribosomal RNA (421 nucleotides) under uncultured bacterium. RNAcentral's name for it is "bacterial SSU rRNA". It matches the Rfam family "Bacterial small subunit ribosomal RNA", at positions 355 to 774 of the family's 1533-position model. The record is from RNAcentral.